UACGUAGGCAGCGAGCGUUGUUCGGAGUUACUGGGCGUAAAGCGUGCGUAGGCGGCGGUCCAUGUCUGGUGUGAAAUCUCCCGGCUUAACUGGGAGGGUGCGCCGGAAACGGGGCUGCUGGAGUGCGGGAGAGGUAAGCGGAAUUCCUGGUGUAGCGGUGAAAUGCGUAGAUAUCAGGAGGAACACCGGUGGUGUAGACGGCUUACUGGACCACGACUGACACUGAGGCACGAAAGCGUGGGUAGCAAACAGG
This 253-nucleotide ribosomal RNA is filed under the name uncultured bacterium. RNAcentral describes it as "partial 16S ribosomal RNA". It matches the Rfam family "Bacterial small subunit ribosomal RNA", at positions 524 to 776 of the family's 1533-position model. The record is from RNAcentral.